AUUGAACGCUGGCGGCACGCUUAACACAUGCAAGUCGGACGGCAGCACGAGAGGGGUAACCCUCUGGGUGGCGCGUGGCGGACGGGUGAGUCACGCGUAGGGCCUUCCCUAUUAACGGGGGAUACUCCGUGGAAACGCGGCGUAUUCCCGCAUACGCUCUGAGGCGGAAAGGUUGGGAGCUGAAAACGGCCCAAUUGCUACUAGAUGAACCUGCGUUGGAUUAGCUAGUUGUUAGGGUAAAGGCCUACCAAGGCGAUGAUCUGUAGCUGGCCUGAGAGGAUGACCGGCCACACUGGAACUGAGAUACGGACCAGACUCCUACGGGAGGCAGCAGUGGGGAAUAUUGGACAAUGGGGGAAAGCCUGAUGGAGCGAUGCCGCGUGUGUGAAGAAGGCCUGAGGGUUGUAAAGCACUUUAGUUGGUGAAGAAAGGGGAUGCGUUAAAAGCGCGAUCAAGUGACGGUAGCCAAAGAGAAAGCACCGGCAAACUACGUG
RNAcentral lists this ribosomal RNA (494 nucleotides) under uncultured bacterium. RNAcentral describes it as "partial 16S ribosomal RNA". It matches the Rfam family "Bacterial small subunit ribosomal RNA", at positions 29 to 507 of the family's 1533-position model. The record is from RNAcentral.